AGAACCAGAGGACGGAACAGGCAGCCGUCGCCCAUUGUCAGGAGAUGUGGGGAGUGUCAUCCCACCUGAUUCU
Faecalibacterium sp. CAG:82-related_59_9 is the source of this 73-nucleotide non-coding RNA. Lineage: Bacteria; Bacillati; Bacillota; Clostridia; Eubacteriales; Oscillospiraceae. The record is from Rfam.